UACGUAGGGUGCGAGCGUUAAUCGGAAUUACUGGGCGUAAAGCGUGCGCAGGCGGUUAUAUAAGACAGUUGUGAAAUCCCCGGGCCCAACCUGGGAACUGCGUUUGUGACUGCAUAGCUAGAGUACGGUAGAGGGGGGUGGAAUUCCGCGUGUAGCAGUGAAAUGCGUAGAUAUGCGGAGGAACACCGAUGGCGAAGGCAGCCCCCUGGACCUGUACUGACGCUCAUGCACGAAAGCGUGGGGAGCGAACAGG
Molecule: ribosomal RNA, 253 nt
Filed under: uncultured bacterium
Lineage: Bacteria
Description: partial 16S ribosomal RNA
Rfam family: Bacterial small subunit ribosomal RNA
Source: RNAcentral